RNAcentral lists this ribosomal RNA (871 nucleotides) under uncultured Thermoproteales archaeon. RNAcentral describes it as "bacterial SSU rRNA". It matches the Rfam family "Archaeal small subunit ribosomal RNA", at positions 475 to 1346 of the family's 1478-position model. Lineage: Archaea; Thermoproteati; Thermoproteota; Thermoprotei; Thermoproteales. The record is from RNAcentral.
CCAACCCCCGCGAGUGGUCGGGACGUUUAUUGGGCCUAAAGCGUCCGUAGCCGGCCCGGUAAGUCCCAUCGUUAAAGCCCACGGCUCAACCGAUGGGAGCGGAGGGAUACUGCCGGGCUAGGGGGCGGGAGAGGCCGGGGGUACUCCUGGGGCAGGGGCGAAAUCCUAUAAUCCCAGGAGGACCACCAGUGGCGAAGGCGCCCGGCUAGCACGCGCCCGACGGUGAGGGACGAAAGCUGGGGGAGCAAAGGGGAUUAGAUACCCCCGUAGUCCCAGCUGUAAACGAUGCAGGCUAGGUGUUAGGCGGGCUUCGUGCCCGCCUAGUGCCGUAGGGAAGCCGUUAAGCCUGCCGCCUGGGGAGUACGGCCGCAAGGCUGAAACUUAAAGGAAUUGGCGGGGGAGCACCACAAGGGGUGAAGCUUGCGGUUUAAUUGGAGUCAACGCCGGAAACCUUACCGGGGGCGACAGCAGGAUGAAGGCCAGGCUAACGACCUUGCCAGACGAGCUGAGAGGAGGUGCAUGGCCGUCGCCGGCUCGUGCCGUGAGGUGUCCUGUUAAGUCAGGGAACGAGCGAGACCCCCGCCCCUAGUUGCUACCCGGUUCUUCGGGACCGGGGCACUCUAGGGGGACUGCCGGCGAUAAGCCGGAGGAAGGUGGGGGCUACGGCAGGUCAGUAUGCCCCGAAACCCCCGGGCUACACGCGAGCUGCAAUGGCGGGGACAACGGGUUCCGACCCCGAAAGGGGGAGGCAAUCCCUUAAACCCCGCCUCAGUAGGAAUCGAGGGCUGCAACUCGCCCUCGUGAACCUGGAAUCCCUAGUAACCGCGUGUCAUCAACGCGCGGUGAAUACGUUCCUGCUCCUUGUACACAC